Molecule: long non-coding RNA, 1490 nt
Filed under: Canis lupus familiaris (dog)
Lineage: Eukaryota; Metazoa; Chordata; Mammalia; Carnivora; Canidae
Description: lncRNA (ENSCAFG00845018044.1)
Source: RNAcentral
CAAUGAUAGAUUUUUAUAAAAACCUGAACAGGAGUGUAUUCUUACUUUUUGACAGCAAUCAAUGGUGGGUGGGAGUGUGGUGGUGGUGGUGAUGGUGGUCUACUGUGACCACAGGCUUCGUUCGCAUGAUGUGCCUAACUUUACGGCCUUGGCUCUAACCUGAGGUUGACCAAAGGUCAGGGAAACGUUCCUGGACUGAACAAUGAGAUUGCCACUUCCAUCUUUGCUCAGACCAAAAGUCCUGGUCUGUGAAAUUUGGGGAAAAAUUGAGAAGUGUUAAUAUUAUAUUUUUAGACGCAGUCAUCAGCUUCCUCUCAUUUUUUUUUUUUUUAAGAUUUAUUUCUUCAUGAGAGACACACAGAGAGAGGCAGAGACAUAGGCAGAGGGUGGAGCAGGCUCCCACCAGGGAGCCGGACAAGGGACUCCAUCCUGGAUCCCAGGAUCACACCCUGAGCCCUGAGCUGAAGGCAAAUGCUCAACCUCUGAGCCACCCAAGCGUCCCCACACCUUUUUUUUUUUUAAGCUUCCUCUCAUUUGUUUGUUUCUUUUCUUGGGUGGAGAAAGAAGGAAAUUCCAUGAUUUGCAAGUCUGCCAGAGCCAGAGUGUGUGUGUAGGGCCAGGUUGCUGUCAGGCACAAAGGCAGGGAGAUGGCCUGUGUCCAAAUGAAGAUCCACUGGGGCAAGAAGAAAGCCAGGCUGGAAGGAAGAGAAGCAGGCUUCGAGCUCCAACAAUUCCUGCCCAGUGAGGCUCAGGGGCACCAGAGACAAGAGCCCAAAGGCCAUUCUUCGAAGCUGAGCAAGAUUGCAGGGUUUCUGAGAGUACUGCGCAGAAAUAAAGGAGACAAAAAUGUCACUGAUCCACCAGAAACUUCCAAAGGUUUCUCCGAGUUGGUCCAGGAUGGGCAGUUCCUGGAGGCCUACCUGAGCAUCCCGACAUUGGUAAAGCAAGGGCAAGACUGCAAAUCCCUGUACCAGGUUGUGGCCCAGAGCAUGUGGCAGGUGCUCCAGCAGGCUCUGGAGGGCACUGAGUACUGCCCGGAGCUGGAGCUAAAGAUCCAGGCUGUGCUGGGCACCAUAGAGUGGACACAGGAGAAGCACCAGAGCUGGGAGGAUGGUGACCUCCAGGAUGGUGACCUCCAGGAUGGUGACCUCCAGGAUGGCGGAGUUGCCGCCUGGGGCAAUCAGCUGGAGAAGCUGCUGAGAAGUGAUGUGGAGGCCAGAGUGCCUGCCCUGGGCCCUGGCGACCAGGUGGACCUGUACCUGGAGAAGCUAGAAGAGGCUGUGACACAGGGCCUGAGGUCCCCGCGGGCCAGCCUGUUGGGGCCCCAGCUCUGGAAGGUCUACAGGACACACUUCCAGGAGGUCCUCCUCAACCGCCUCUGGGAGCUCAUGCACUCCUUUGGCACCAACAGGGAAAGCUGUCACAUGCUGUACUCCUGGGCCAAGAUAACGUUGUUUGGGGAGCCAGGGAAAGCUUGGAGGAACAACUAG